RNAcentral lists this ribosomal RNA (481 nucleotides) under uncultured bacterium. Its description in RNAcentral is "partial 16S ribosomal RNA". It matches the Rfam family "Bacterial small subunit ribosomal RNA", at positions 30 to 507 of the family's 1533-position model. The record is from RNAcentral.
AUUGAACGCUGGCGGCAUGCCUUACACAUGCAAGUCGAACGGUAACGGGCCUUCGGGUGCCGACGAGUGGCGAACGGGUGAGUAAUACAUCGGAACGUGCCCGAUCGUGGGGGAUAACGAGGCGAAAGCUUUGCUAAUACCGCAUACGAUCUACGGAUGAAAGCAGGGGACCGCAAGGCCUUGCGCGGACGGAGCGGCCGAUGGCAGAUUAGGUAGUUGGGGGGAUAAAAGCUUACCAAGCCGACGAUCUGUAGCUGGUCUGAGAGGAUGAUCAGCCACACUGGGACUGAGACACGGCCCAGACUCCUACGGGAGGCAGCAGUGGGGAAUUUUGGACAAUGGGCGCAAGCCUGAGCCAGCCAUGCCGCGUGCAGGAUGAAGGCCUUCGGGUUGUAAACUGCUUUGUACGGAACGAAAAGCCUUCUUUUAAUACAGGAGGGUCAUGACGGUACCGUAAGAAUAAGCACCGGCUAACUACGUG